Molecule: ribosomal RNA, 253 nt
Filed under: uncultured bacterium
Lineage: Bacteria
Description: partial 16S ribosomal RNA
Rfam family: Bacterial small subunit ribosomal RNA
Source: RNAcentral
UACGUAGGUGGCAAGCGUUGUCCGGAUUUAUUGGGUUUAAAGGGUGCGUAGGCGGCCCUGUAAGUCAGUGCUGAAAUAUCCCGGCUUAACCGGGAGGGUGGCAUUGAUACUGCGGGGCUAGAGUACAGAUGAGGUAGGCGGAAUUGACGGUGUAGCGGUGAAAUGCGUAGAGAUCGUAAGGAAGACCAGUGGCGAAGGCGGGUCUCUGGACAGUUCCUGACACUGAGGCACGAAGGCCAGGGGAGCAAACGGG